RNAcentral lists this ribosomal RNA (255 nucleotides) under uncultured bacterium. RNAcentral describes it as "partial 16S ribosomal RNA". It matches the Rfam family "Bacterial small subunit ribosomal RNA", at positions 524 to 776 of the family's 1533-position model. The record is from RNAcentral.
UACGUAGGGUGCAAGCGUUGUCCGGAAUUAUUGGCGUAAAGAGCUCGUAGGCGGUUUGUUGCGUCGGCUGUGAAAUCCCGAGGCUCAACCUCGGGUCUGCAGUCGAUACGAGCAAACUAGAGUGUUGCAGGGGAGACUGGAAGUUACCUGGUGUAGCGGUGAAAUGCGUAGAUAUCUGGAGGAACACCCGUGGUGCAGACGGCUUGCUGGACCGUGACUGACGCUGGAGGCACGAAAGCGUGGGUAGCAAACAGG